AACUCGACUACAUGAAGCUGGAAUCGCUAGUAAUCGCGAAUCAGAAUGUCGCGGUGAAUACGUUCCCGGGUCUUGUACACACCGCCCGUCACACCAUGGGAGUCAGUAACGCCCGAAGUCAGUGACCCAACCGGAACCGGAGGGAGCUGCCGAAGGUGGGACCGAUAACUGGGGUGAAGUCGUAACAAGGUAUC
This 194-nucleotide ribosomal RNA is filed under the name uncultured bacterium. RNAcentral's name for it is "partial 16S ribosomal RNA". It matches the Rfam family "Bacterial small subunit ribosomal RNA", at positions 1309 to 1500 of the family's 1533-position model. The record is from RNAcentral.